Molecule: ribosomal RNA, 253 nt
Filed under: uncultured bacterium
Lineage: Bacteria
Description: partial 16S ribosomal RNA
Rfam family: Bacterial small subunit ribosomal RNA
Source: RNAcentral
UACGUAGGGGGCUAGCGUUGUCCGGAAUCAUUGGGCGUAAAGCGCGUGUAGGCGGUUCGGUAAGUCCGCUGUGAAAGUCGGGGGCUCAACCCUCGAAUGCCGGUGGAUACUGUCGGGCUAGAGUGCGGAAGAGGCGAGUGGAAUUCCUGGUGUAGCGGUGAAAUGCGCAGAUAUCAGGAGGAACACCAAUUGCGAAGGCAGCUCGCUGGGACGCUACUGACGCUGAGACGCGAAAGCGUGGGGAGCAAACAGG